Molecule: ribosomal RNA, 701 nt
Filed under: Cetobacterium somerae
Lineage: Bacteria; Fusobacteriati; Fusobacteriota; Fusobacteriia; Fusobacteriales; Fusobacteriaceae
Description: bacterial SSU rRNA
Rfam family: Bacterial small subunit ribosomal RNA
Source: RNAcentral
UAACACAUGCAAGUCGAUUCGAUUUACCUUCGGGUAUUGAGGAUGGCGGACGGGUGAGUAACGCGUAAGGAACUUGCCUCUUGGUCUGGGACAACUGUUGGAAACGACAGCUAAUACCGGAUAUUAUGAGAUUCUCGCAUGGGAAACUUAUGAAAGCUAUAUGCGCCAAGAGAGAGCCUUGCGUUCCAUUAGCUAGUUGGUGGGGUAACGGCCCACCAAGGCGACGAUGGAUAGCCGGCCUGAGAGGGUGAACGGCCACAAGGGGACUGAGACACGGCCCUUACUCCUACGGGAGGCAGCAGUGGGGAAUAUUGGACAAUGGGCCACAAGCCUGAUCCAGCAAUUCUGUGUGCACGAUGAAGGUCUUCGGAUUGUAAAGUGCUUUCAGUUGGGAAGAAGAAAGUGACGGUACCAACAGAAGAAGCGACGGCUAAAUACGUGCCAGCAGCCGCGGUAAUACGUAUGUCGCAAGCGUUAUCCGGAUUUAUUGGGCGUAAAGCGCGUCUAGGCGGAAAAAUAAGUCUGAUGUUAAAAUGCGGGGCUCAACUCCGUAUUGCGUUGGAAACUGUUUUUCUAGAGUACUGGAGAGGUGGGCGGAACUACAAGUGUAGAGGUGAAAUUCGUAGAUAUUUGUAGGAAUGCCGAUGGAGAAGUCAGCUCACUGGACAGAUACUGACGCUAAAGCGCGAAAGCGUGGGGAG